CCAGACUCCUACGGGAGGCAGCAGUGAGGAAUAUUGGUCAAUGGGCGGAAGCCUGAACCAGCCAAGUCGCGUGAGGGAAGAAGGCCCUGCGGGUCGCAGACCUCUUUGGACGGGGAGCAAGGCCGCCGACGUGUCGGCGGAAGGAGAGUACCCGUAGAACAGGCAUCGGCUAACUCCGUGCCAGCAGCCGCGGUAAUACGGAGGAUGCGAGCGUUAUCCGGAUUUACUGGGUGUAAAGGGAGCGUAGACGGCAGUGCAAGUCUGAAGUGAAAGGCAAGGGCUCAACCCUUGGACUGCUUUGGAAACUGUGCUGCUGGAGUGUCGGAGAGGCAAGUGGAAUUCCUAGUGUAGCGGUGUAAUGCGUAGAUAUUAGGAGGAACACCAGUGGCGAAGGCGGCUUGCUGGACGAUGACUGACGUUGAGGCUCGAAAGCGUGGGGAGCAAACAGGAUUAGAUACCCCUGUACUA
This 468-nucleotide ribosomal RNA is filed under the name uncultured bacterium. Its description in RNAcentral is "bacterial SSU rRNA". It matches the Rfam family "Bacterial small subunit ribosomal RNA", at positions 331 to 797 of the family's 1533-position model. The record is from RNAcentral.